ACUAUAUUGGCAGAAUAAGUGUAAUGAAUUUAGAAUUCAUCUAUGUAAUAAUUACAUAUAGUA
Molecule: transfer RNA, 63 nt
Filed under: Truljalia hibinonis
Lineage: Eukaryota; Metazoa; Arthropoda; Insecta; Orthoptera; Gryllidae
Description: tRNA-Leu
Source: RNAcentral